UGGGGAAUCUUGGACAAUGGGCGCAAGCCUGAUCCAGCCAUGCCGCGUGAGUGACGAAGGCCUUAGGGUUGUAAAGCUCUUUUGGCGGGGACGAUAAUGACGGUACCCGCAGAAUAAGCCCCGGCUAACUUCGUGCCAGCAGCCGCGGUAAUACGAAGGGGGCUAGCGUUGUUCGGAAUUACUGGGCGUAAAGCGCACGUAGGCGGCCUUGUAAGAUGGGGGUGAAAUCCCUGGGCUCAACCCAGGAACUGCCUUCAUGACUGCAAAGCUCGAGGAUGUGAGAGGUUGGCGGAAUUCCGAGUGUAGAGGUGAAAUUCGUAGAUAUUCGGAAGAACACCAGUGGCGAAGGCGGCCAACUGGCACAUUUCUGACGCUGAGGUGCGAAAGCGUGGGGAGCAAACAGGAUUAGAUACCCCCGUAGUCCCUGAGCGGGCUGGCAAGGCGCAU
Molecule: ribosomal RNA, 447 nt
Filed under: uncultured bacterium
Lineage: Bacteria
Description: bacterial SSU rRNA
Rfam family: Bacterial small subunit ribosomal RNA
Source: RNAcentral